UAACCAGCUCCUUCCCCCUCCUCCCUUUCACCCGUCCAACUAUCCAAGGAGUGAGGAAGGCCACAAUCAGCAACUGACCUGUAAUACCUUACCUAGCUAGGUGUAGUUUGUUUGAGCCAAGAUGUUGGCGGUGUUCAGCGGCGAGGUGGUGGAGGUGCCGGCGGAGCUGGUGGCGGCCGGGAGCCGGACGCCAUCGCCCAAGACACGGGCGUCGGAGCUGGUGAAGCGCUUCCUCGCCGGCAACGACCCGGCCGUGUCCGUGGAGCUGGGAUCACUGGGCAACCUCGCCUACUCCCACGCCAACCAGUCCCUCCUCCUCCCAAGGUCUUUCGCUGCAAAGGAUGAGAUCUUCUGCCUGUUCGAGGGAGUCCUGGACAACUUGGGGCGGUUGAGCCAGCAGUACGGCCUCUCCAAGGGCGGCAACGAGGUGCUCCUCGUGAUCGAGGCCUACAAGACGCUGAGGGACAGAGCCCCCUAUCCCGCCAGCUUCAUGCUCUCCCAGCUCACCGGCAGCUACGCCUUCGUGCUCUUCGACAAGUCCACCUCCUCCCUCCUCGUCGCAUCCGGCCCUGAGGGCAAGGUGCCGCUCUUCUGGGGAAUCACCGCCGACGGCUGCGUCGCCUUCUCCGACGACAUCGACCUGCUGAAAGGAUCUUGCGGCAAGUCACUGGCGCCUUUCCCGCAAGGUUGCUUCUACUGGAACGCUCUUGGAGGCCUCAAGUCGUACGAGAAUCCCAAGAACAAGGUCACCGCUGUGCCUGCAGAUGAGGAGGAAAUCUGUGGUGCAACUUUCAUGGUGGAAGGGUCUACCGUUGUCGCGGCACUUCAGUAGGAGAUUCUCUCGUCUCCGUCGCUGGGCAAAGCAGGCAAGGCCGUUCUCCUGUAUAUGGUGGUGGUGUAAUAUAAUGCAACAAGGCGCGUGUGCUACUCUCUUUGUGAUCUUAUGUGAACUGUUCGGUUGUGUAUCUGAUCAUCUGUAUCUCUAGCUGUUCAAAUUCUCGCAGUGGAUUCAAGACCGGCCGUCUUCAGUUGGAUGUAACAAUUAAUGUAGUAGCAACCAAAUAAGCUUUCUUUCUUUCCAUCUAAAAAAAGGCUUUCUCGAUCUCUGUUGUUAUGCGUGUACCAUUGGGC
RNAcentral lists this ribosomal RNA (1131 nucleotides) under Triticum aestivum (bread wheat). RNAcentral's name for it is "partial small subunit ribosomal RNA". Lineage: Eukaryota; Viridiplantae; Streptophyta; Magnoliopsida; Poales; Poaceae. The record is from RNAcentral.